Long non-coding RNA from Zingiber officinale, 364 nucleotides. RefSeq lists it as uncharacterized. Lineage: Eukaryota; Viridiplantae; Streptophyta; Magnoliopsida; Zingiberales; Zingiberaceae. The record is from RefSeq and is a predicted model, not a curated record. The transcript has 2 exons.
CAAGCGGAGUAUUCUCGAGAAGAAAUUGAUGAGGUGCGAUCGGAGUUGGCAGAAUGUAUACAAGAUUAUAUUUAUGAGUAGAUACACAGUGGUAGGUGUUUUGUCCCAGUCUCAAGCCGUCAAUCCAUUUUGAUCAAUAUAUCUAGUAGAAGUAAACAUGCAGAUCAUUGUCUUCGAGGCCGGCUAGCUAUUUUGUGCUUUUUUUGUUUUAAACUUGAAUGUCAGUAACUACUUUGAAACAGAAAUAUUUAGUCUUUGUGUAUAGUUGAAUUCUCCUGUAAAUACUAAUACUUUGUAGUUGAAUUCUAUUGUUUGGUACGAGUUUGAAAUCAUUAGCUGAGCUAAUUAAUGCUAUUUUAUAUGU